CAGCACUUCCUCCUCGCAGAUGCAGCUGUUCGCCCACUAGUGUCAUUGAUGCUUCUGCCAUCAGUGGCUGCCACUGGCUCCCAGCAGCAAUAAUCCCCCAAAGCAUCUCUUACUCCAAGUGCUCUGAUGAGAGAGUCCAGCAGUGAUCAUCUUUGGAACUCGGUAGUGUUCUUGCCUUUCUGCAGGUGCUCUCACCUCUAAGUCGCAUGUGGCAUCCACAACAUCUAGUGAGCUGGGCGCUUCUCCAAAGGGCAAACUCAGCUCAGGCAUGCAGAGCCUGUGGUGAUAUGUACCUUCACACCACACUCUUCCCAUGAACCUCACUGGCUCGUUGGUUCAGUCAUCAACAAUUGUUUAUUGAAUGCCAGGUGUGUGUCAGAUGCUCUGCUGUGCUAGGGACUUUCAGAGGAAUUUAAAAAUUGCCUGAGCCUCUAAGGUGAGGAUUAGUAGGAAAGAUCCAAAUGAAAAACAAAGCAGAGCAAACAAUAACACUGAUUAGGCAACGUCAGAGAUGUGUUUAGACAAACCAGAGUUGAGAGGAAGCGAAGAUGAACCCUCCUCCGAGAUCCCCUCGAGUCUUCGUGGAGGGUGCAAAUGCUCAGGCUUUCUUUUUUUUCUUUUCUUUUUUUUUUUUUUUUUAUUUCCUUUUUUCUUUUGGAGAGAUUUAAAUAAAGACAUGGAUUUUCCAAUUUCUUUAAAAAUUCCCUGGGACGUCAGGAAGCCCUGAAGAUAAAUGUAUGGUUGCCAUCUGUCGUGCUUCACCAGUGUGUAACCACAUUACUUUAUUCAAGUUUAUCUGCAGGUCAGAUUCUUUGUUUCCUUCUGUAGGUCCAGUUAGUCAAGUUCAGGGACUAGUCCACAUUACUGUGCAUUUGCACAAAGAGAUUCUGGACCCCUUCCUCCUCAUCUAAGUAGCACCUGCUUCUGCUUUGUAUAUUCCAAUGAAGUGACCCAAAUAAUAGGAAUUUCAGGAAAAGGGAGGCAAAUAAAUUUGAACAAGUGACAUGGGAGCUAUAGAAACCAUGUUAGAUAGAUCAUUGUCAGCUUAAUUUAUUUUGGCAUUUCUCUAUGGAAUGAUACUCUUCAUUCAGUUCCUAUGAUAUUAUAAAACUCAACAAAUUUAGCUUUAUAAUUAUAAAAAUAACACACAAACAACGCAGCUUUGCAAAUCUGUGUGAAGUACUUUAUUUGCAGCCAGAGGAGAAAAUUUAAACUUUGGUUGCCUUGUUUGCUGCCGUGUGGUUUUAUGUUCAGCUAACACUGUAGCAAUAUCUUUGUAAACUCUAUAUUUAUCUGGAAUUUUUUGUGCUCAGUGAUUUUUAUCAAACAACUGUUUCCCUGAUUACCCAAAAUAUGCAUGCUGAUAGUUGACACAGAUAAUAUAAAGAUAUGUAAAAAAGUUCUUCAUAACCUCAUCACCAGAACCAAUCUUUAUUCAUAUUUUAACAUACUUCUUUCCAUGUGCAAAAAUGUCUCUGUGUUAAUGCACACACUCUCCCCUUUACAGUUUACAUCAUAUCAUAUAUGUAGCAUCAUAUCCUAUGACUAAUUAGCAUUAUAUAUCACAUGUUUAUUGUUUUAUGAAAAUGAGAUACUCCAUAUAUUGUUUAGCAAUGUGCUUUUUUGCUUUGCAAAGCCUGGAGAUCAUCUUGUCUUCUCCACGUGUUUUAUUAUUAAAAAUCAUUUUCUAAUUUGAUAAAAGCAUGGUACUUAUUACUAUUUUCACUUGCAUUUGUUUGUGUAUUAUUUAGAAAGCAACAUCAAAUCUUACUGUUGAUUUUUUUGUCUUCUCCUUUAUUUUCAGUCGUCUGCCUCUGGUAUCUUUGGCCUGAUUUUCUUGUGAUGUAGUCAUCUUUCUUUUAUUGAUUUUUAAGACAUUUUUACAUAUUAAGGUAAGUAAUCCUGUGUCUGUUGUGUAUGGUUCAAAUUUAAAUAUAUAUAUAUAUAUAUAUAUAUAUACAC
This 1962-nucleotide long non-coding RNA is filed under the name Canis lupus familiaris (dog). RNAcentral's name for it is "lncRNA (ENSCAFG00030006696.1)". Lineage: Eukaryota; Metazoa; Chordata; Mammalia; Carnivora; Canidae. The record is from RNAcentral.